RNAcentral lists this ribosomal RNA (465 nucleotides) under Vreelandella stevensii. Its description in RNAcentral is "partial 16S ribosomal RNA". It matches the Rfam family "Bacterial small subunit ribosomal RNA", at positions 338 to 795 of the family's 1533-position model. Lineage: Bacteria; Pseudomonadati; Pseudomonadota; Gammaproteobacteria; Oceanospirillales; Halomonadaceae. The record is from RNAcentral.
CCUACGGGUGGCAGCAGUGGGGAAUAUUGGACAAUGGGGGCAACCCUGAUCCAGCCAUGCCGCGUGUGUGAAGAAGGCCCUCGGGUUGUAAAGCACUUUCAGUGAGGAAGAACGCCUGGUGGUUAAUACCCAUCAGGAAAGACAUCACUCACAGAAGAAGCACCGGCUAACUCCGUGCCAGCAGCCGCGGUAAUACGGAGGGUGCGAGCGUUAAUCGGAAUUACUGGGCGUAAAGCGCGCGUAGGUGGCUUGAUAAGCCGGUUGUGAAAGCCCCGGGCUCAACCUGGGAACGGCAUCCGGAACUGUCAAGCUAGAGUGCAGGAGAGGAAGGUAGAAUUCCCGGUGUAGCGGUGAAAUGCGUAGAGAUCGGGAGGAAUACCAGUGGCGAAGGCGACCUUCUGGACUGACACUGACACUGAGGUGCGAAAGCGUGGGUAGCAAACAGGAUUAGAUACCCGGGUAGUC